UUUGGUCAACCUGAGCUGUUUAGUGAGACUGGUUGUGUGCAAAUGCUACAAGAAAAAAAAUCUUGGUGUUUUGCAAAAUCAAGGUGAGCAAGCAGUGCACAGACUAUGUCUCAUCUCUGUGCCUGCAGCUGUGUGUGGCAAGUUUACAUUAGUAAAGCAAUAAAAGUGAAUGGAGCUUUUCUUUUAGCUCAUCCCAGUCUGCACUGGUCUUUGUCACUUGUAACAAAGACCAGUGCAGUUUUGAUUUAGGUGUUUUUGGGUUAGAAAAAGACCACACAGAUAUUUAGGUUAAUAUGGAACAGUCUCCUUUGCCACAGAGGUUUGAAGCCCUGCUAUAUUUCUCUAAUUCUUUUCACCUUACUCCAUGCACAGAGCCUUCCAGUCUGGCUGUGACAUGUCAGGUCUGACGCCUUGCCGUCUCAGCACCAGAUUCCUCUUUCAGAGAGUUCUGGUGGAGGUUGCAUGGUCUCGUUUCAAAGCCAGGUCCAGGUCAAAGGUUAAAGCAGUCAGCAAACAUUCAGCUUCCCAAUACAGGCUUUAAGUUAGGCGAGGCCCUCCUUCAGCAUCAGAACACGUCUCAGAAAAUGUGCUUGUCUCCACGAAGCAGAGAAUACCUUUGUGUACACAACUGUCUACACAGUUUCCCAACUCAAAAUGUGGUCAGAAUGAUCAGACCACAAUGUCUCUGUCAGUGUCUCUUGGGUGUGUUCAUACUUGUACCUGUGAUUAAGUCAUCUUAGUGUAAAGUGCAAGCAGGGCCUGCUCGUUUGAUACGUGUGCCUUGCUUAUUCUUUGCAGCAGCCUGUCAUUUGGUGCUGUAGACUGCAGAAUACAGUGUGUCUAGGGCUUGCUAAUUUACCUCUGUAGUGAUGUCCAGUAGAUGCUUUACUGUCAUUAAGGUGAGCCAAGUUGCUGGCAUUUAGAAACCAGGACCUGUAAUCUUGAUAUGAAGUGCAGUCAUUUACCGAAGAAAAUAAAUUGUAGAAGGAUCAGUAAGGGAAGUUUGAAGAUUAUUUACCAAAGGACUGUCUGGCAUAUCCACAAGUGCUGAUACUGUGCUGAGGCUUAUGCUAAAUGUAGGUUAAGUUGCACUAAAUGUAGGGUAGGUUGUGGUGGAGUUCUGGCCCUGAAGUACAAUAAAGCCAUAGAAAUGCUCUGGGCUUUAUCUUAAAAGUGCAUGAAAAUGUGCAUUUUGUCUGACUUCAAUGACUGGGUAAGAUAUUAUGAGACUGGAAGACCUAUUUAUUUUAAAUGUGGAUGCCUGCACAUACACGUGCCUCCUGCUCUGUCUCUGUGUAACUGUGUAGUACCAUCAGAGAUCCCGAGUGAACCCAGUUAUGGUUUCCUCUCAGUAUGGAUCUUGAUUUUUUUUUUUUUUUU
Haplochromis burtoni (Burton's mouthbrooder) is the source of this 1380-nucleotide long non-coding RNA. RefSeq lists it as uncharacterized. Lineage: Eukaryota; Metazoa; Chordata; Actinopteri; Cichliformes; Cichlidae. The transcript has 2 exons. The record is from RefSeq and is a predicted model, not a curated record.